GAGGAUAUAGCUCAGGGGCAGAGCACAUGCUUAGCAUGCACAAGGUCCUGGGUUCAAUUUCCAGUACCACCA
This 72-nucleotide transfer RNA is filed under the name Camelus bactrianus (Bactrian camel). It matches the Rfam family "tRNA". From Rfam's summary of the family: Transfer RNA (tRNA) molecules are approximately 80 nucleotides in length. The record is from Rfam by way of RNAcentral. Lineage: Eukaryota; Metazoa; Chordata; Mammalia; Artiodactyla; Camelidae. RNAcentral also lists the same sequence under 2 other names.